Molecule: ribosomal RNA, 253 nt
Filed under: uncultured bacterium
Lineage: Bacteria
Description: partial 16S ribosomal RNA
Rfam family: Bacterial small subunit ribosomal RNA
Source: RNAcentral
GACAGAGGGUGCAAACGUUGUUCGGAAUUACUGGGCGUAAAGCGCAUGUAGGCGGCCAAGCAGGUCGGAUGUGAAAUCCCUCGGCUCAACCAAGGAAGUGCAUUCGAAACCGCAUGGCUCGAGUCCCGGAGAGGAAGGUGGAAUUCUCGGUGUAGAGGUGAAAUGCGUAGAUAUCGGGAGGAACACCAGUGGCGAAGGCGACUUCCUGGCCUGUUCUUGACGCUGAGGCGCGAAAGCUAGGGGAGCAAACGGG